Molecule: ribosomal RNA, 467 nt
Filed under: uncultured bacterium
Lineage: Bacteria
Description: partial 16S ribosomal RNA
Rfam family: Bacterial small subunit ribosomal RNA
Source: RNAcentral
GACGAACGCUGGCGGCGUGCUUAACACAUGCAAGUCGAACGGAAAGGCCUCUUUCGGGGGGUACUCGAGUGGCGAACGGGUGAGUAACACGUGAGUAACCUGCCCUUGACUUUGGGAUAACUUCAGGAAACUGGGGCUAAUACCGGAUAGGAGCUCCUGCUGCAUGGUGGGGGGUGGAAAGUUUCGGCGGUUGGGGAUGGACUCGCGGCUUAUCAGCUUGUUGGUGGGGUAGUGGCUUACCAAGGCUUUGACGGGUAGCCGGCCUGAGAGGGUGACCGGCCACAUUGGGACUGAGAUACGGCCCAGACUCCUACGGGAGGCAGCAGUGGGGAAGAUUGCACAAUGGGUGGAAGCCUGAUGCAGCAACGCCGUGUGCGGGAUGACGGCCUUCGGGUUGUAAACCGCUUUCGCUCAUGACGAAGCUUUGUGUGACGGUAGUGGGUAAAGAAGCACCGGCUAACUACGUG